GGGCACCCACCUAAACCAGCAAUAGAUGAGUCCACUGUGCUAAUCCCCAUCUGGAGGGAAACCAAAAUAUUUGGAAGAGAUUGCCCAUAUGUAUCAUGAAAGUGGACAGCAAGCUUCUUAACAGGAACAACAGCCAUUACAGCUUCAAGCAUGGGAAUUACAGUCCCACAUGUACCAACACCAAUUGUAUCACCGAGAGAAAUUUCAAAGCAAUCCAUGUCAUAAAGUUCCUUUGCCACAUAUGCCACUUUUGAAGGAGAAAUUGCUCCCUCCACAGGACAUCCAACAACGCAUGAUACAUACCCACGAACAGGAAUUCCAAGCUCUUUAGCAGCACGAGUAACAGCACGAUAACGAGCAAGACUCUCUUCAAUGCUACAAUUUAUGUUUGACUUCGAAAAUGACUCAGAAGCUGAUGCAAAAACUGCUACUUCCUUAGCACCAGCAGCAACAGCUGCUUCAAAUCCUUUUAGAUUAGGUGUCAGAACAGGCAGUCUAGAGCCCUCCAAACUUUGAACUGCUUUCAUCACAUCUCUUGCAUCUGCUAACUGAGGAACCCAUUUGGGUGAUACAAAACUUGUAGCCUCAACAACUGGCAACCCAGAAGAGACUAGUCUGCGAAUCAAUUCAAUCUUUACAUCUGUAGGUACAAUAUUUUUCUCAUUUUGUAGUCCAUCUCUUGGACCAACUUCUACUAUCUUCACAAACUUUGGU
This 714-nucleotide unclassified non-coding RNA is filed under the name Hevea brasiliensis (rubber tree). Lineage: Eukaryota; Viridiplantae; Streptophyta; Magnoliopsida; Malpighiales; Euphorbiaceae. The record is from RNAcentral.